RNAcentral lists this ribosomal RNA (464 nucleotides) under Vreelandella stevensii. Its description in RNAcentral is "partial 16S ribosomal RNA". It matches the Rfam family "Bacterial small subunit ribosomal RNA", at positions 338 to 795 of the family's 1533-position model. The record is from RNAcentral. Lineage: Bacteria; Pseudomonadati; Pseudomonadota; Gammaproteobacteria; Oceanospirillales; Halomonadaceae.
CCUACGGGUGGCAGCAGUGGGGAAUAUUGGACAAUGGGCGAAAGCCUGAUCCAGCCAUGCCGCGUGUGUGAAGAAGGCCUUCGGGUUGUAAAGCACUUUCGGUGGGGAAGAAAGCCUUGGGGCUAAUACCCUCGAGGAAGGACAUCACCCACAGAAGAAGCACCGGCUAACUCCGUGCCAGCAGCCGCGGUAAUACGGAGGGUGCGAGCGUUAAUCGGAAUUACUGGGCGUAAAGCGCGCGUAGGCGGUCUGAUAAGCCGGUUGUGAAAGCCCCGGGCUCAACCUGGGAACGGCAUCCGGAACUGUCAGGCUAGAGUGCAGGAGAGGAAGGUAGAAUUCCCGGUGUAGCGGUGAAAUGCGUAGAGAUCGGGAGGAAUACCAGUGGCGAAGGCGGCCUUCUGGACUGACACUGACGCUGAGGUGCGAAAGCGUGGGUAGCAAACAGGAUUAGAUACCCGGUAGUC